GUGGGUGAUCUGCCCUGCACCUCGGGAUAAGCCUGGGAAACUGGGUCUAAUACCGGAUAGGACGAUGGUUUGGAUGCCAUUGUGGAAAGUUUUUCGGUGUGGGAUGAGCUCGCGGCCUAUCAGCUUGUUGGUGGGGUAAUGGCCUACCAAGGCGUCGACGGGUAGCCGGCCCGAGAGGGUGUACGGCCACAUUGGGAUUGAGAUACGGCCCAG
This 213-nucleotide ribosomal RNA is filed under the name uncultured Actinomycetales bacterium. RNAcentral's name for it is "partial 16S ribosomal RNA". It matches the Rfam family "Bacterial small subunit ribosomal RNA", at positions 117 to 334 of the family's 1533-position model. The record is from RNAcentral. Lineage: Bacteria; Bacillati; Actinomycetota; Actinomycetes; Actinomycetales.